RNAcentral lists this long non-coding RNA (539 nucleotides) under Homo sapiens (human). Its description in RNAcentral is "non-protein coding lnc-HEATR6-1:19". The record is from RNAcentral. Lineage: Eukaryota; Metazoa; Chordata; Mammalia; Primates; Hominidae.
AACAUUUCAGACAGUGUGACUGAAUGAGGAAUUCUAGAUAGUUCUGUGAAGACUGGGGGAAGAAGAAAAGAGGAUGCCAGUCCUUGUUCCUAGGCCAAGACCUGAGCCCUGUAAUAUUAAUAUUUGGAUCUAAAAUCAGCCUUCCAACAGCAACAUGAAGUUGGCAGCCUUCCUCCUCCUGUGAUCCUCAUCAUCUUCAGCCUAGAGGUACAAGAGCUUCAGGCUGCAGGAGACCGGCUUUUGGGUACCUGCGUCGAGCUCUGCACAGGUGACUGGGACUGCAACCCCGGAGACCACUGUGUCAGCAAUGGGUGUGGCCAUGAGUGUGUUGCAGGAUGAAGAGUUAUCUUAAGGAUCAUCUUUCCCUAAGAUCGUCAUCCCUUCCUGGAGUUCCUAUCUUCCAAGAUGUGACUGUCUGGAGUUCCUUGACUAGGAAGAUGGAUGAAAACAGCAAGCCUGUGGAUGGAGACUACAGGGGAUAUGGGAGGCAGGGAAGAGGGGUUGUUUCUUUUAAUAAAUCAUCAUUGUUAAAAGCACUC